GAUGAACGCUGGCGGCGUGCCUAAUACAUGCCAGUCGAGCGAACGGACGAGAAGCUUGCUUCUCUGAUGUUAGCGGCGGACGGGUGAGUAACACGUGGAUAACCUACCUAUAAGACUGGGAUAACUUCGGGAAACCGGAGCUAAUACCGGAUGAUAUUUUGAACCGCAUGGUUCAAAAGUGAAAGACGGUCUUGCUGUCACUUAUAGAUGGAUCCGCGCUGCAUUAGCUAGUUGGUAAGGUAACGGCUUACCAAGGCAACGAUGCAUAGCCGACCUGAGAGGGUGAUCGGCCACACCGGAACUGAGACACGGUCCAGACUCCUACGGGAGGCAGCAGUAGGGAAUCUUCCGCAAUGGGCGAAAGCCUGACGGAGCAACGCCGCGUGAGUGAUGAAGGUCUUCGGAUCGUAAAACUCUGUUAUUAGGGAAGAACAUAUGUGUAAGUAACUGUGCACAUCUUGACGGUACCUAAUCAGAAAGCCACGGCUAACUACGUG
Molecule: ribosomal RNA, 497 nt
Filed under: uncultured bacterium
Lineage: Bacteria
Description: partial 16S ribosomal RNA
Rfam family: Bacterial small subunit ribosomal RNA
Source: RNAcentral